Molecule: non-coding RNA, 91 nt
Organism: Crucibulum laeve
Lineage: Eukaryota; Fungi; Basidiomycota; Agaricomycetes; Agaricales; Nidulariaceae
Source: the annotation of a GenBank genome assembly
UCUUUGUUAGUAUAUCGGUUAGUACACGCGCCUGUCACCUGCGAAGUGAAUGUGGCCGCACGAAAGCUGGGUUCGACUCCCAGACAGAGAG